This 866-nucleotide ribosomal RNA is filed under the name uncultured Methanocella sp. RNAcentral describes it as "bacterial SSU rRNA". It matches the Rfam family "Archaeal small subunit ribosomal RNA", at positions 5 to 873 of the family's 1478-position model. The record is from RNAcentral. Lineage: Archaea; Methanobacteriati; Methanobacteriota; Methanomicrobia; Methanocellales; Methanocellaceae.
UGGUUGAUCCUGCCAGAGGUCACUGCUAUCGGUGUUCGAUWAAGCCAUGCGAGUCGAGAGGUGUUAUGGCCUCGGCGUACUGCUCAGUAACACGUGGAUAACCUGCCCAAAAGUCCGGGAUAACCCCGGGAAACUGGGGAUAAUACCGGAUAGGCCAUCUUUUCUGGAAUGGAUGGGUGGUUUAAAUUUCAGGGGCUUUUGGAUGGGUCUGCGGCUGAUUAGGUUGAUGCCGGUGUAACGUACCGGCAUGCCUGUAAUCAGUACGGGUUGUGGGAGCAAGAGCCCGGAGAUGGAUUCUGAGACACGAAUCCAGGCCCUACGGGGCGCAGCAGGCGCGAAAACUUUACAAUGCAGGCAACUGCGAUAAGGGGACAUCGAGUGGCACGCAGUUUGUGUGUCUGUCCAUCCGUCUAAAAAACGGGUGUCAGCAAGGGCCGGGCAAGACCGGUGCCAGCCGCCGCGGUAAUACCGGCGGCUCGAGUGGUGGCCGAUAUUAUUGAGUCUAAAGGGUCCGUAGCCGGCUUAAUAAGUCUUUUGGGAAAUCCAGCGGCUUAAUCGUUGGGCGUCCAUGAGAUACUGUUUUGCUUGGGACUGGGAGAGGUAGGAGGUACUCAAGGGGUAGGAGUGAAAUCCUGUAAUCCUUUGGGGACCACCAGUGGCGAAGGCUGUCUGCUAGAACGCGCCCGACGGUGAGGGAUGAAAGCUGGGGGAGCGAACCGGAUUAGACACCCGGGUAGUCCCAGCUGUAAACGAUGCAGGCUAGGUGUUUGGGCGGCCACGCGCCACUCUAGUGCCGCAGGGAAGCUGUUAAGCCUGCCGCCUGGGGAGUACGGCCGCAAGGCUGAAACUUAAAGGAAUUGGCGGGG